AAGGCCCAGCUGCCUUUGGAGAAAGGAGCUCUUCAGAUGAGCUGACCUGCCAUCCUACGUAGCCUAAUACGCAGAUGAGGUGUAAGCUGCAGCGUCAUCCCAUGCAAUUUCUUAAGAGUGUGUUCUGGAAUAGAAGCAGGAGCCAGGAAACCAGGAAUGAUGAAACUGCCUGGCGUCCUCACAGCACCCGUUACAAGGCAAAACAGCAAAGAGCCUCAGCCAGCAGAUACUGGGCGACGUAACCCCAUUUCACAUCAUCUGUGCUCAUGGUUUAUUCAGGAAUGGUUUUUGGGUCGUGUUCUACCAGCAUAUUACUACUGUCAGGCGAAAGAUUCUAUGAAAAUAAAUAGGAGGAAUUCCUUUUGGGGUGACCCACAGGAUAAACUCUGCUGAGCAUCAUUAGAACCUCGAGCAAAGGAGCAGAAGAGAAAAAAAGAGGCAUUUAAAACAGAUGAUGGAUCGAUGCAGAUGGGGAUCUGCUGGACCAAUCUAUUCUUCAUGAAAGCCAAGUUUUCUCUGAGGAAUUGCUUUAAGAGGAUGUAGCAACUCAUUGCUCUCAAAGCGCCCUUUUUUAAUUCUACAACAGAGGUUUUGCUGAAAUGAAAAUACUUCUAUAUUUUGCACAAAGCCAAGAGCCUGUAUAUACCUCUGGUUGUUGUUUUUUGUUUGUUUUUCUGCAUAGGGAAAAUCAGAAUGCAAAUACUGUCUAUAAAUCAAAUAUUUAAGUUGUUGGGUUUUUUAAGUUUGCCAGCCCUCUUCAUUCUAGUCCAGACUUGAGUGAUUGCUCUUAUCCUCUCUGGACAGCCACCCAAAGCCAUAGGGUUAUGUUUGCACAGUUGGUGGUGCUUCAAUUUGUUUUGAUGGUUGGGUUCCAAGCACACUGGCAAUGAGAGGAAAGAUCACAUAGACAUCAAGAUCUAGUCCCCCCUAACAUAACUGCCAUGAAACUGGCCCCCCGAACUGCUGCUAAACUGUGAAGAAAGUCUAUUAAGAAUGAUAGAGGGGAUUGGUUUAAAGAACAGAUCAUGCCCAUCUUGCCAGUGGGAUGACAGAAGGUUACAUGGAAUUCUGGGGGAGGCUAAAUGACAAAUGGCCACUGAUGAAGCUAUACAAACCCAACAGGAAAUGUGUCAAGAGGUAAUGCUGCCUAACAUUUCAAUUUUAGAACAUUUCCAGUUUUAAUUUGAAAAAGCUAAUAGAGGCCACAAACCUAAGGAGUAGAGACCAUCAUAGCCCCGACACAUAGUGCUUCACUGGUUAUGACUGGGAGUAAUAAAAUCCCUGCCAAAAAGGAGGACUGCA
RNAcentral lists this long non-coding RNA (1302 nucleotides) under Phasianus colchicus (ring-necked pheasant). Its description in RNAcentral is "lncRNA (ENSPCLG00000004772.1)". The record is from RNAcentral. Lineage: Eukaryota; Metazoa; Chordata; Aves; Galliformes; Phasianidae.